Molecule: ribosomal RNA, 467 nt
Filed under: uncultured organism
Description: bacterial SSU rRNA
Rfam family: Bacterial small subunit ribosomal RNA
Source: RNAcentral
GACGAACGCUGGCGGCGUGCCUAACACAUGCAAGUCGGACGGGGUGAGUUAGUGGAAGCUUUCGGGUUGAAGCUGACUUACCUAGUGGCGGACGGGUGAGUAACGCGUGAAUUACCUACCCUAGGGAGGGGGAUAACGCCUGGAAACGGGUGCUAAUACCCCAUAGGCCGGGAGGUUAAAGGGAGAAAUCUGCCCUAGGAUGGGUUCGCGUCCUAUCAGCUAGUUGGUGGGGUAAUGGCCUACCAAGGCGAAGACGGGUAGCCGGUCUGAGAGGAUGUACGGCCACACUGGAACUGAGACACGGUCCAGACUCCUACGGGAGGCAGCAGUGGGGAAUAUUGGGCAAUGGGCGCAAGCCUGACCCAGCGACGCCGCGUGAGGGAAGAAGGCCUUUGGGUUGUAAACCUCUGUUGUACGGGAAGAAGGCAGUGACGGUACCGUACGAGGAAGCCCCGGCAAACUACGUG